Molecule: ribosomal RNA, 292 nt
Filed under: uncultured bacterium
Lineage: Bacteria
Description: partial 16S ribosomal RNA
Rfam family: Bacterial small subunit ribosomal RNA
Source: RNAcentral
GUGUCAGCAGCCGCGGUAAGACAGAGGUGCCAAGCGUUAGGCGGAAUCACUGGGCUUAAAGCGUGUGUAGGCGGAUCGUUAAGUGUCUUGUGAAAUCCCACGGCUCAACCGUGGAACUGCUUGACAGACUGGCGAUCUUGAGCCAGCUAGGGGCGACCGGAACAAACGGUGGAGCGGUGAAAUGCGUAGAUAUCGUUUGGAACGCCAAUGGUGAAAACAGGUCGCUGGGGCUGUGCUGACGCUGAGACACGAAAGCCAGGGGAGCAAACGGGAUUAGAUACCCGGGUAGUCC